AGGGACAGGAGCACACACCAUGAUUUCACACAUCCAGCUGAUCUGGCCCCUGGCAUUCUGUGUUGCAGGUAUCAGUGGGGACAUCACCAUGACCCAGUCUCCCCCGGUGCUGUCAGUGGGACUGGGCCAGACCGCAACCAUCACCUGUACGGCCAGUCAAAGCAUUAGCAGCUACCUUGCUUGGUACCAGCAGCGAGAAGGUCAGAAACCCUCUCUCCUGAUCUAUUAUGCAACAACUCGAUUCACAGGAGUCUCGGAGCGAUUCACUGGCAGUGGAUCAGGGACCAGUUUCACCCUGAAAAUCAGCAACGUUCAGAAUGAGGAUGUGGCUGACUAUUACUGUCAGCAAGGUGACAGCUGGCCGCUUACGUUCGGUAAAGGAACCAAGCUCAGACUGAGCCGUGACAACUCUCAGCCCAAGCUGACCCUGCUGCCCCCCUCCCCGGAGCAGGUCAGUGCCAAGGGCACUGCCACCCUGGUGUGCCUUGCCAAUCACUUCUAUCCCGAUGAGCUGGAGGUGCAGUGGAAGAAGGACGGCAGCCCGGUGUUUGGCACAAGUGGGCAGGAAGAUUUGGCCAAAUGCCUGGCAGAGUUAAAAUUGAGUCACAAGGCACUCGAUGACCUGGUAGAUGACCAAGAUUGGUUUGAUGAGGACUUUGGGCUGAGCUGUAGCAAAGUGCAGCAGCCAGUGCAGGAGGCCCAGUCUUCAAAAGGAUGUGCCUCUGAAAAUCCAAAGGGAACCUGA
Non-coding RNA from Hemiscyllium ocellatum (epaulette shark), 745 nucleotides. The record is from the annotation of a RefSeq genome assembly. Lineage: Eukaryota; Metazoa; Chordata; Chondrichthyes; Orectolobiformes; Hemiscylliidae.